UUAAACCCUUGCUAUUUUAAAAUGUUUUAGAAUACACCUUAUACUAUGUAUAUAUAAUUAAAGGUUUAAUAUGUAUUAUAUGUAUAAGAAUAGUCAGUCAAUCGCUAGUACACCUCAUUCAUGAAAACAUGCUAUAAAGAGGGUAUAAGGAAGCGGCCUAUAAAAUGGCCGUUGAAUGGGUGUCUACUCUCACCCAUCGAUCUCCUGUGUGGUGGAAGGUCAUUAGCCGAACGGAUUUCAUAGAACAUAACAUCAUUAAAAGUAUAAUGAUAUAAAGUAACCAAACUAUUUUCUAAAAAUCUCAUUCUUAGUUACUUAAGAAAAAUAUGAAUUUGUAUGUUAAUCCAUGAAAUUACACAUCACACUUUAUAAGUCGCUAGUGGAGCAUGUGUGGUUAACUGGCACACUAGUGGGGAACUAAUAAAGAGUGGUAAUGGGUGUCUCGAAAAUUAUCAUUGAUUAAUGGAGCGAGUGUGGUUAACCAGAACAUUAAAGUGAGAUGAUAAAUGACAUCGAGAGUACCAAGCUAAUUUGCAUGAUUAUUCACAUCUCAUCUGUGAUCCUCGACAUCCUAGUCAAAAAAGUGAGAGCAUAAUUGAGAUUAAACAUGUCAUUGAUUAGAUUCUAUGAAUCUUAUAAGACAUAGGAGUUUCAUAAGACUGAAACCGGUAAAAGCCUUACCUACCUAAAAUAUAGUUGGAUUUGAUUACGACAUCCCUCUUCAAAGUUCGAAUCGAAAAUAUGGAUUCUAGCCUUAAUUUAAAUUUAUGGGUUAAUAAUUAAGGGUUAAAAAUUAACUAAAUUGAAUUCUCUUUUCUUCCUUUAUCGAUGUCAAUUCAAGAUAAUAAUGGUCUUCCUUAUCCUUUUGGAAAUGGUUUUCCUCUACCUUCUGAAGAUGAUCUUCCACAUUCUCAUCAAGGUGAAAGUAUGUGUAACAUCCUGACUCCCAGGUAUAAAUUUAAAUAUAUUUAUAUUCAUAAUUGGGGCAACUUGACGAGUUGGAGGCCCCAACUUUUUGAGUAGAGGCCAUGAUGGCCGCAUGAAAUUUAGAACCUACUCGAUGAGUUGGAGGACACAACUCAACGAGUUGGGGCUGAGUGUCAAAACCCUAAUUUUUAGGGUUUGCACCCUAUUUAAAGGACCUUAAGUCCUCUCCCCAGCCUCCCUUAUCACCUUAUCACCCAUAGACAAACCUUAAUCGAGAUAACCUUCCAUUUUGAGUGUGUGUAAGGCUAAAGAGUGUGUGUUUGGUGCAUUUCUUGAAGAAACUCGAAGAUUUAAGAGCUUGGAACGAGAAUGAGUCUAUAGAUCUAACAUCUACUCAGUUGUAGCAACCAUUUGAAGGUAAAAAGCCACUACCUUGAUCUCUUCCUUGUUAGAUCUCUCCAUUAGAGAGUUUAUGGCCAUUUAUAGCUUCUACUUGACUCAUUCUUGGUUUUGAGCAUGCUUUGAAGCUAAGACUUUUGAUCUGGACACUACUAGGCCCCUUAGACCUAAAGACUCAAGCUUUAUCAAGCUUUGGCCAACUUCCAUGCCUUAAAACCCUUGUUGAGCCUUGUUUUGGCAAGUUAGCACCUAAAAGCCAUGCAUGGAUGUAAAGUUUGCAGCUUUACGUAGUAUCUUAGCCCUAGAAGGCUAGAUCUAUAGUUUGGAGCCUUGGUUUCGCUUAAAAGCACUUGAAUUAGAUUUAGUAGAGGAAUUAGCCUAACAUUUUCGAGGGUUGUUAUUAUCAAUUAUUAAUUAAAGAUAAUUGCGAUAUAUGUUAGGCAAUGUCUAGAACGACAGUUCGAGUGCGAGACAUACUUGCUUUACUUACGAGGUGAGUCUUCUUACUAUACUUACCUGAGUGGUAAUUACUAUACGACCGGAGGGUCUUAUCUGUGCUAUUGAUCGGAGGGUCUUAUUUGCUUAUACUGAGAUGUGUGAUAUUAUGCAUUCUGUCUUUGUGAUUUAUGUUGUAUAUUAUUAUGUGCAUUUAUUAAGAUAGGACUGGAGGGUCCAAACCGAGUCGUGAGACCGAAGGGUCUUCACUGAGACACAAGACCGGAGGGUCCAACCCGAGCCGUGAGACCGAAGGGUCUUCACUGAGAUACAUGACUGGAGGGUCCUUAUCAAGAUAUAGCCAUGGGAGGCUAAUUAUUUGUGUGUGGUAUUUUGGGAAACUUACUAAGCUUCAUGCUUAGAGUGUUAUGUGAAAUGUAUUUCAGAUACAUCUUAGGAUCGUGAGAAGGCACCGACAUGAUUGUACACACCAGCUUGUUGAUUUGUGUUUUGAGGAUUCUGGGAUAUUUGAUAAACAAUUUUUAUGUUUUGUGUUUUGGAACAUUAACAAAUUUGGCAAUAGAGAUGUUAAACUAUGCUUUGUGUGGAAUUAAAAAUGAAAAAAAAAUUAUUUGGAUAUUUAGAGUGUUACAAGUUGGUAUCAGAGCCUUGGUUUAAGGGAUUCGGAUGUUCCCUCAGGUAUGUGUGGACUCAAACUGAGGAUUUGAGAAAAUUUUCAGAAAGAAAUGACUUUCUAAAUGAGCAAAAUAUUUUAAGAGGAAACGAGAAGAAGCAGUGUGUACAAUCAGCCAGAGCUCGAACAGUGAUUUCCCAAAAUACCCUUACUUAUUUAUAUUAUGAGAUGAGAUACUCUUGAGAUAUUAGAACUGCAUGCUAGAUGGUAGACUAGGUAUUUCAGGAAUUUAGAGAUAGAGUUUCCUGAUUCAUGAUGUCUUAGCCUAGAAGGAUGUUAUUGAUUAACAUUAUUUGCUAUUUGCUCUGUGUAUGCUGAGUAGGGGUACAUGGCAGGAAAUCUUUAAGAGAAGGAUCUGAGUUGAAGAGUAAUCUAGUAGGGAUACCUAGAUGUUCAUUUUGAGAAAUCUAUUGAGAGAGUAGUUAGAUAUCGUGAGGGAUAAAGUACUUGUGAAUUAGGGUCCUGGGAGGAGGACUUGAGACAACUAAAGGUUGGUGUGGAAGGUAGUAUUGGGCCCGUACAACUAAAAGCACCGGAUCUAUACGCGACCCAAGUAAGAACCUUAGGAUACCAAGGAGCAUGUAGGGGUGAGUAAAUGUGUGUACGCUUUAGCCAACCCCUGAUGAUUUCUGUGUUUGUGUUUCAGAGAGACUAUGGUGAUUACUUGCAGCAACCCCCCACAGGGGGGGGGAGUACUAGUGAUGAGGUGAUCUGCAUGAUCAUUGCUGAGGAGGCGGCCACAACUAUCAGGGAGGGCAUUCCGGAGAUGUUCGGGUUUAUUAAGACCAUGUUGAUUGAGAAUUUUGAUGAGCGUUAUGCUGCUGUCACGGAGGAUGCCGCUGCCGCAACCCUUGCAGCUGCGCGGCCACAGGGGGGAUGAUUCAUUGAUAUUUUGAGAGUUUAGCAACACGAAGUCACUAGAGUUUGACAGGACUCAGGACCCGAUUUCUGCUAGAAGAUGGAUUUAUGAUAUCGAGGGAUGUUUUUAUAGUUGUUCAUGCUUUGAGAGCCUGAAAGUUCGAUUUGCACUGAACUAGCUUCACUUGGGAGCGAAGGACUGGUGGAAGUUUGUGACGACUGAUUAUUCUCCUGCAGAUCAUGCUGUAGUGACUUGUGAGAGAUUCACCUAGUUAUUCCAAGAUGAGUUUGUUCCCCAGGUGUCUACGAAACUAUUAGCCCAUGAGUUUCUGUCUCUCAAGAAAAAGACAGAAAUAGCGACGAAGAUUACGAGGAUGUUUCAUGAAAGGGCAUUGUUCUGCCCUGAGCAUGUGUCUACAGAACAUGCACGUAUGAUCCGGUACUUGAGCAUUUUGAGAUGGGACAUUCGGGAGUUUGUGGUGAACUCAUCAUAUCAUACAUUGACUGAGCUACAGACAUAUGCCAGGAGGAGGGAGAUUGAGUUGGAGAUUCAGACUGGGGUGGAGGGAGAGUCUCAGGGGAGAGACAGCAGACCAGUGCAAUCACAGUCGACGACCAAGCAGGCUAAGCCCGCUGAUACGAGAGCAGGAGGCCAGAAGGGUCGAACUUGUGGCAAGUGCGGUAAGAGUCAUGAGGGAUUUUGUUGAUCAGAGAUUUGUUUCAAAUGCGGAACGUAGGGGCAUAUGGCGAAGGAUUACCCUAAGGGAUUUUCGGUUUGCUUUCAUUACAACCAGACUGGCCACCGAAAGGAUGAGUGUCCUCAGCUCACUCAGGGAUAAGCCCAGACCCCUGCUCCUGCUACCUUGCGUGUCACCUAUGGUCGGCCUGGGAAGGCCGAGGCUCCGAGAGCUCAUGGGAGAGCCUUCUAGUUGACUGCGGAGGAGGUCCGUGCAGUACCUGACGUUGUUGCUGGUACAUUUCAAGAUCGCGGGAAGGCAUCGACAUGAUUGUACACACCAGCUUGUUGAUUUAUGUUUUGAGGAUUCUGGGAUAUUUGACAAAAAAGUUUUAUGUUUUGUGUUUUGGAACAUUAACAAAUUUGGCAUGAGAGAUGUUAAACUAUGUUUUGUGUGGAAUUAUAAAUGAAAAAAAUAUAUUUGAAAAUUUAGAGUGUUACAGUAUGUUCCCUUCUUCGGGGAAUGGUGGAAAUGGAUAUCAUGCUUCUCCAACUCUUCCUCCUCCUCCUCCUCCAAUGACUCUCCCCAUGUCUCGAGUCGAAAGAUAUGAAACUACUCAAGCCCUAUUGGCAUGUAAGCAUCAAGAUGGAAAAUAUCUGUGUGCACAUGUUUUGGAAAUGAAAUCACACAUUGACAAAUUGGAUAGAAUGGGUAUUGUUUUCCCAAGGGAGCAAGCUAUUGUUUUGGUCCUACUUUCACUUUUGAGUCAUAUAGUUAGUUCAUUAAGAACUUUUAUAUGAGCGAUCACAAUGUGACCUUAAUUGAUCUGACACAUAUGUUGAUUGUUGCUGAAGCAGAAAUGCUUAAGAGCACAUGUGACGCAAAAGUGUUUAAAUGAUCUAAUUCCAGAGUUUCCAUGGAUAUUGACAAUUGUGGUCCUGAAAAGAUUUAUCUUUCCAAUGGAAAGGGAUCGGCCAAGGUGAAACCGUUUGAUCGUAUGGUAAAGAGAAAUGCUAUUUCUAAGAUAGUUCCAUGUGCUAAUCCUAAAGAGUUAUUGCCAAUUGAAGGGACAUUGGUUACGAAGUUGCCCAGACUACCUAAAAGAUCUUAAAGUCAAGUCACGUGACUAUGCUUCAGGAUCUAAGGGAAAGAAGGAAGCUUAAGAAGAAUGAACUAAUUCUAAACGUGAGAGAUGGAUUUUAGUCACAUGGUUCGAUGAUCAGAAUUUGGAGCUGCUGCUUAGGAUUAAUGAUAAUUUAAUAGAUUUCUUAGAAAAUGUCUAGAAACAUUGUUUUCAUUUAUGCAGUGUGAGGACAAGUUCCAAAUUUUUGUUUAUUAUCAAUAAAAGUGAAUUUUUGGUUUAUAUAGUUGGUUUAAUUUAUAUUUCCUUGUAAUGGCAUCUAUGAAAGGGUUGGUUACAUUUC
Non-coding RNA from Lactuca sativa (garden lettuce), 5414 nucleotides. The record is from RefSeq and is a predicted model, not a curated record. Lineage: Eukaryota; Viridiplantae; Streptophyta; Magnoliopsida; Asterales; Asteraceae.